RNAcentral lists this ribosomal RNA (500 nucleotides) under uncultured bacterium. RNAcentral describes it as "partial 16S ribosomal RNA". It matches the Rfam family "Bacterial small subunit ribosomal RNA", at positions 28 to 507 of the family's 1533-position model. The record is from RNAcentral.
GACGAACGCUGGCGGCGUGCUUAACACAUGCAAGUCGAACGGGCCUGUCUUCUUUUUUGGGGGGUGGGUUGAGUGGCGAACGGGUGAGUAUCACGUGAGUAACCUGCCCUUCGGUCCUGGAUAACCGCUUGAAAGGGCGGCUAAUACGGGGUGGUCCGGUUGGUCCGCAUGGGCUGGUCGGGAUAGAUUCACUGUUUUUGGUGUUUCGGCGGGGGCUGGGCUCGCGGGCGAUCAGCUUGUUGGUGGGGUGAUGGCCUACCGAGGCGGUGACGGGUAGCCGGCCGGAGGGGGUGGGCGGCCACACUGGGACUGGGAUACGGCCCAGACACCUGCGGGAGGCAGCAGUGGGGGGUAUUGCACAGUGGGCGGAAGCCUGAUGCAGCGACGUCGCGUGAGGGAUGGAGGCCUUCGGGUUGUGAACCUCUGUUUCCGGUGGUGAAGGCCCUGUCCGUGUGGUGGGGUUGACGGUAGCCGGGGAUGAAGCGCCGGCUAACUACGUG